Molecule: signal recognition particle RNA, 297 nt
Filed under: Saimiri boliviensis boliviensis (Bolivian squirrel monkey)
Lineage: Eukaryota; Metazoa; Chordata; Mammalia; Primates; Cebidae
Description: Metazoan signal recognition particle RNA (ENSSBOG00000013736.1)
Rfam family: Metazoan signal recognition particle RNA
About the family: The signal recognition particle (SRP) is a universally conserved ribonucleoprotein. It is involved in the co-translational targeting of proteins to membranes.
Source: RNAcentral
GCCAGGUGCAGUGUGUGUGCCUGUAGUCCCAGCUACUUGGGAAGCUGAAGUGGGAGGAUCACUUGAGUCCAGGAGUUCUGGGCUAUAGUGUGUUAUGCUGAUCAGGUGUCCACACUAAGUUCGGCAUCAAUAUGGUGACCUCCUGGGAGCAGGGGACCACCAGGUUGCCUAAGGAUGGGUGAACCGGCCCAGGUCAGAAACGGAGCAGGUCAAAACUCCCAUGCCGAUCAGUAGUGGGACUGUGCCUGUGAAUAGCCACUGCACUCCAGCCUGGGCAACAUAGCGAGACCCUGUCUC